RNAcentral lists this ribosomal RNA (253 nucleotides) under uncultured bacterium. RNAcentral describes it as "partial 16S ribosomal RNA". It matches the Rfam family "Bacterial small subunit ribosomal RNA", at positions 524 to 776 of the family's 1533-position model. The record is from RNAcentral.
UACGAAGGGGGCUAGCGUUGUUCGGAUUUACUGGGCGUAAAGCGCGCGCAGGCGGCUUCUCAAGUCAGUGGUGAAAGCCCGGAGCUCAACUCCGGAACUGCCAUUGAAACUGUGGAGCUUGAGGACGAGAGAGGUGAGUGGAAUUCCCAGUGUAGAGGUGAAAGGCGUAGAGAUGGGGAAGAACACCGGUGGCGAAGGCGGCUCACUGGCUCGUUUCUGACGCUCAGGCGCGACAGCGUGGGGAGCAAACAGG